GUAUUCCCCUAGUAACUGCGAGUGAAGCGGGAAAAGCUCAAAUUUAAAAUCUGGUGGUCUUUGGCCAUCCGAGUUGUAAUCUAGAGAAGUGUUAUCCGCGCUGGACCGUGUACAAGUCCCCUGGAAUGGGGCGUCAUAGAGGGUGAGAAUCCCGUCUUUGACACGGACUACCAGGGCUUUGUGAUGCACUCUCAAAGAGUCGAGUUGUUUGGGAAUGCAGCUCAAAAUGGGUGGUAAAUUCCAUCUAAAGCUAAAUAUUGGCGAGAGACCGAUAGCGAACAAGUACCGUGAGGGAAAGAUGAAAAGAACUUUGGAAAGAGAGUUAAACAGUACGUGAAAUUGUUGAAAGGGAAACGCUUGAAGUCAGUCGCGUCUGCCAGGGAUCAACCUUACUUUUGUGAGGCGUACUUCCUGGUUGAUGGGUCAGCAUCAGUUUUGGUCGCUGGAUAAAGGUCAGAGAAAUGUGGCACCUUCGGGUGUGUUAUAGUCUUUGAUCAGAUACAGUGGCUGGGACUGAGGAACUCAGCGCCGCAAGGCUGUCUUAGGAUGCUGGCAAAAUGGCUUUAAUCGACCCGUCUUGAAACACGGACCAAGGAGUCUAACAUGCCUGCGAGUGUUUGGGUGGAAAACCCGAGCGCGUAAUGAAAGUGAAAGUUGGGAUCCCUGUCAUGGGGAGCACCGACGCCCAUACCAGAAGUUUACGGACGGAUAUGCGGUAGAGCAUGUAUGUUGGGACCCGAAAGAUGGUGAACUAUGCCUGAAUAGGGCGAAGCCAGAGGAAACUCUGGUGGAGGCUCGUAGCGAUUCUGACGUGCAAAUCGAUCGUC
Molecule: ribosomal RNA, 827 nt
Filed under: Pleurotus pulmonarius
Lineage: Eukaryota; Fungi; Basidiomycota; Agaricomycetes; Agaricales; Pleurotaceae
Description: partial large subunit ribosomal RNA
Rfam family: Eukaryotic large subunit ribosomal RNA
Source: RNAcentral